AGUCAUAUGCUUGUCUCAAAGAUUAAGCCAUGCAUGUCUCAGUACAAGCCGAAUUAAGGUGAAACCGCGAAAGGCUCAUUAAAUCAGUUAUGGUUCCUUAGAUCGUACCCACACUUACUCGGAUAACUGUGGUAAUUCUAGAGCUAAUACGUGCAAACAGAGCUCCGACCGGAGACGGGAGGAGUGCUUUUAUUAGAUCAAAACCAAUCGGCGGCGGGCGCGUCCGCGCGUCCGUUCGCCGCUCGACCUGGUGACUCUGAAUAACUUUACGCUGAUCGCACGGUCUCGCACCGGCGACGCAUCUUUCAAAUGUCUGCCUUAUCAACUGUCGAUGGUAGGUUCUGCGCCUACCAUGGUCGUAACGGGUAACGGGGAAUCAGGGUUCGAUUCCGGAGAGGGAGCCUGAGAAACGGCUACCACAUCCAAGGAAGGCAGCAGGCGCGCAAAUUACCCACUCCCGGCACGGGGAGGUAGUGACGAAAAAUAACGAUACGGGACUCAUCCGAGGCCCCGUAAUCGGAAUGAGUACACUUUAAAUCCUUUAACGAGGAUCAAUUGGAGGGCAAGUCUGGUGCCAGCAUCCGCGGUAACUCCGGCUCCAAUAGCGUAU
RNAcentral lists this ribosomal RNA (610 nucleotides) under Clemnius laccophilinus. Its description in RNAcentral is "SSU rRNA". It matches the Rfam family "Eukaryotic small subunit ribosomal RNA", at positions 22 to 602 of the family's 1831-position model. Lineage: Eukaryota; Metazoa; Arthropoda; Insecta; Coleoptera; Dytiscidae. The record is from RNAcentral.